Sturnus vulgaris (Common starling) is the source of this 702-nucleotide non-coding RNA. NCBI's taxonomy places the organism in Eukaryota, Metazoa, Chordata, Aves, Passeriformes, Sturnidae. The record is from RefSeq and is a predicted model, not a curated record.
AGCAGUGUCUGCUGCCUGGCACCAAGCCAGAGGCAUGUUAUGAUUCAUACCCACCUGACUGAACUCUUUUACCCCUAAAAACAGGGUGAUCACACCCAGCCUACCUUUUGGGAAUGGUCCCAAGAAUGUGCUGUUCUCUGCACUGUGCUAACAGACUGUUAGCCCAGAAUAAUGGGAAGUGGAUACCCUGAUGGACGACAGGAAGCCUUUAUAAUUUGUCAAACUACAAUUAAUAGCUGGCAAGCUCAAGACAAGCUCUCUGUCAGUAAAUACCAUUUGGGCCAGAGUCACUUAAAGAUUUCUGUCUUUGUGCCUCCAAGUUGGCAAGGUCAGCUGCAGCUCAGGCUGGAAUCUGAAUCUCAGAAGCAAUCCUCAUCCUGCAGAGCCCUCUUAGAAACUAUAUCCCAGGCCUCUAAGAUCAUGACUCUUUUACAUCUGGUGAGAAUAAAGGCAGAGAGACAGUAAGAAAAAAGCAAGGUCUGAUCUGUGUUUUUAAUGGAGUUUUGUCCUCCAGCUCUUCUCCGAGGUGAAUUUUCUUGCCAGAUAUUAUCAGCAGCAGUGGUUUGGCUCAGAUUUUUGCUCUAGAUUCUUUUGUCCUGUUGACUUUUGGAUCAACUCUGCACUGGCUCUGUUUUGAAGAUAGCUUUACCCAUAUUAAUGUUUAACUUACACAAGUAUUAAAUCAUAAGUUUAAUAUGGAAA